RNAcentral lists this ribosomal RNA (399 nucleotides) under uncultured bacterium. Its description in RNAcentral is "bacterial SSU rRNA". It matches the Rfam family "Bacterial small subunit ribosomal RNA", at positions 29 to 431 of the family's 1533-position model. The record is from RNAcentral.
AUUAAACGCUGGCGGCAUGCCUUACACAUGCAAGUCGAACGGCAGCACGGGGGCAACCCUGGUGGCGAGUGGCGGACGGGUGAGUAAAGCAUCGGAACGUAUCCUGGAGUGGGGGAUAACGUAGCGAAAGUUACGCUAAUACCGCAUAUUCUGUGAGCAGGAAAGCAGGGGAUCGCAAGACCUUGCGCUCUGGGAGCGGCCGAUGUCGGAUUAGCUAGUUGGUGGGGUAAAGGCCUACCAAGGCGACGAUCCGUAGCGGGUCUGAGAGGAUGAUCCGCCACACUGGGACUGAGACACGGCCCAGACUCCUACGGGAGGCAGCAGUGGGGAAUUUUGGACAAUGGGCGCAAGCCUGAUCCAGCCAUGCCGCGUGAGUGAAGAAGGCCUCGGUUGUAAGAC